Molecule: ribosomal RNA, 433 nt
Filed under: uncultured bacterium
Lineage: Bacteria
Description: partial 16S ribosomal RNA
Rfam family: Bacterial small subunit ribosomal RNA
Source: RNAcentral
AGCGAACGCUGGCGGCAGGCCUAACACAUGCAAGUCGAACGAACUCUUCGGAGUUAGUGGCGGACGGGUGAGUAACACGUGGGAACGUGCCUUUAGGUUCGGAAUAACUCAGGGAAACUUGUGCUAAUACCGAAUGUGCCCUUCGGGGGAAAGAUUUAUCGCCUUUAGAGCGGCCCGCGUCUGAUUAGCUAGUUGGUGAGGUAAAGGCUCACCAAGGCGACGAUCAGUAGCUGGUCUGAGAGGAUGAUCAGCCACAUUGGGACUGAGACACGGCCCAAACUCCUACGGGAGGCAGCAGUGGGGAAUCUUGCGCAAUGGGAGAAAGACUGACGCAGCCAUGCCGCGUGAAUGAUGAAGGUCUUAGGAUUGUAAAAUUCUUUCACCGGGGACGAUAAUGACGGUACCCGGAGAAGAAGCCCCGGCUAACUUCGUG